Molecule: ribosomal RNA, 415 nt
Filed under: uncultured bacterium
Lineage: Bacteria
Description: bacterial SSU rRNA
Rfam family: Bacterial small subunit ribosomal RNA
Source: RNAcentral
GCGGGAUUCAGCAGCCGCGGUAAUACGUAGGGUGCAAGCGUUAAUCGGAAUUACUGGGCGUAAAGCGUGCGCAGGCGGUUUUGUAAGUCUGACGUGAAAUCCCCGGGCUUAACCUGGGAAUUGCGUUGGAGACUGCAAGGCUGGAGUCUGGCAGAGGGGGGUAGAAUUCCACGUGUAGCAGUGAAAUGCGUAGAGAUGUGGAGGAACACCGAUGGCGAAGGCAGCCCCCUGGGUCAAGACUGACGCUCAUGCACGAAAGCGUGGGGAGCAAACAGGAUUAGAUACCCUGGUAGUCCACGCCCUAAACGAUGUCUACUAGUUGUCGGGUCUUAAUUGACUUGGUAACGCAGCUAACGCGUGAAGUAGACCGCCUGGGGAGUACGGUCGCAAGAUUAAAACUCAAAGGAAUUGACGG